UUUGGGGACAAAACGGGAACUUUGGAAUAAGAUCAGAACAGACGGUUUCCCAGAACUUUGAACAAUUUCAUCCAUGGGAACCAAGUUAUAAACCAAAUAUGGAUUAUACUUCGCAUCUCUUGAAUAACCAUUAUAAUCAACUAGUACAACAAGGUAUUCCGCCUUACCAACCAAGACUAUCGGAUCAAAAUCAAUACGGAGCUGGAUUAUCGGAUCAAAAUCAAUACGGACUUGGAUUAUCGGAUCAAAAUCAAUACGGACCUGGAUUAUCGGAUCAAAAUCAAUACGGACCUGGGUUAUCGGAUCAAAAUCAAUACGGACCUGGAUUUUCGGAUCAGCGUCUGCAACAUCCCGAAAUGCAACAACAUACUCAGCAAAUAACAAUAAUUACACCACCUACCCAUGCGCAAACUUUCUACAAUAGUCCUAAUGGCGGAUUUGGAUUCAGUGGAUCCGGUUUCGAUGCGCCUGGAAUCAGAUUCGGUGUUCGACAUCCUUCCUUUUAUAGGCCGAACAUUUCACCAAUGUUCAUUCCCUAUGAAAAACCUACUUUCAUGGACAAAGUAGGACAAUUCGUAAAAAGCGAUGUUGGAAAAGCUAUCGGAGCUAUGGCAGCAGGAACGCUUUUCGUCAAAGCAGUCAGUAAUUAACUAGUAAAGAACUGUAUUGUAAUUGACCUACUUCUCAUGGUGUCUACUUCCAUUCCUUCACUAUUAAAGUCGCGCGAUGUUUGUAUAUAAUACGGCGAAUAAAAUGGUUGAUAGGGGCUCAACACACUCUAUAUUUAGUUUUGUUAUAUUUCUUUGAAAUACUUAUUAUAGAAAUACUUUAUGUUCGGAUGAGUGAAACAAAGAAGAACAUAAUCAUUGUUACUAUUUUCUGUCAU
Molecule: long non-coding RNA, 886 nt
Organism: Ostrea edulis (European flat oyster)
Lineage: Eukaryota; Metazoa; Mollusca; Bivalvia; Ostreida; Ostreidae
Exons: 3
Source: RefSeq, a predicted model, not a curated record